CAAAACUUUCAACAACGGAUCUCUUGGUUCUGGCAUCGAUGAAGAACGCAGCGAAAUGCGAUAAGUAAUGUGAAUUGCAGAAUUCAGUGAAUCAUCGAAUCUUUGAACGCACAUUGCGCCCGCCAGUAUUCUGGCGGGCAUGCCUGUUCGAGCGUCAUUUCAACCCUC
RNAcentral lists this ribosomal RNA (168 nucleotides) under Epichloe typhina. RNAcentral's name for it is "5.8S ribosomal RNA". It matches the Rfam family "5.8S ribosomal RNA". Rfam says of the family: 5.8S ribosomal RNA (5.8S rRNA) is a component of the large subunit of the eukaryotic ribosome. It is transcribed by RNA polymerase I as part of the 45S precursor that also contains 18S and 28S rRNA. The record is from RNAcentral. Lineage: Eukaryota; Fungi; Ascomycota; Sordariomycetes; Hypocreales; Clavicipitaceae. RNAcentral also lists the same sequence under 6 other names.